GUGGGGAAUAUUGGACAAUGGGCGCAAGCCUGAUCCAGCCAUACCGCGUGGGUGAAGAAGGCCUUCGGGUUGUAAAGCCCUUUUGUUGGGAAAGAAAUCCUGUCGGUUAAUACCUGGCGGGGAUGACGGUACCCAAAGAAUAAGCACCGGCUAACUUCGUGCCAGCAGCCGCGGUAAUACGAAGGGUGCAAGCGUUACUCGGAAUUACUGGGCGUAAAGCGUGCGUAGGUGGUGGUUUAAGUCCGUUGUGAAAGCCCUGGGCUCAACCUGGGAAGUGCAGUGGAUACUGGAUCACUAGAGUGUGGUAGAGGGAUGCGGAAUGUCUGGUGUAGCAGUGAAAUGCGUAGAGAUCAGAAGGAACAUCCGUGGCGAAGGCGGCAUCCUGGGCCAACACUGACACUGAGGCACGAAAGCGUGGGGAGCAAACAGGAUUAGAUACCCGUGUAGUCC
This 450-nucleotide ribosomal RNA is filed under the name uncultured bacterium. Its description in RNAcentral is "bacterial SSU rRNA". It matches the Rfam family "Bacterial small subunit ribosomal RNA", at positions 354 to 796 of the family's 1533-position model. The record is from RNAcentral.